CCUACGGGUGGCAGCAGUGGGGGAUAUUGCACAAUGGGGGGAACCCUGAUGCAGCGACGCCGCGUGGGUGAAGAAGCGCCUCGGCGCGUAAAGCCCUGUCAGCAGGGAAGAAAAUGACGGUACCUGAAGACGAAGCCCCGGCUAACUACGUGCCAGCAGCCGCGGUAAUACGUAGGGGGCCAGCGUUAUCCGGAUUUACUGGGUGUAAAGGGGGCGUAGACGGCGAUGCAAGCCAGGCGUGAAAGCCCGGGGGCCAACCCCGGGACUGCUCUUGGAACUGCGGGGCUGGAGUGCAGGAGGGGCAGGCGGAAUUCCUGGUGUAGCGGUGAAAUGCGUAGAUAUCAGGAGGAACACCGGUGGCGAAGGCGGCAUGCUGGACUGCAACUGACGUUGAGGCCCGAAAGCGUGGGGAGCAAACAGGAUUAGAUACCCUUGUAGUC
RNAcentral lists this ribosomal RNA (440 nucleotides) under uncultured bacterium. RNAcentral describes it as "partial 16S ribosomal RNA". It matches the Rfam family "Bacterial small subunit ribosomal RNA", at positions 338 to 795 of the family's 1533-position model. The record is from RNAcentral.